Molecule: ribosomal RNA, 1476 nt
Filed under: Triticum aestivum (bread wheat)
Lineage: Eukaryota; Viridiplantae; Streptophyta; Magnoliopsida; Poales; Poaceae
Description: partial small subunit ribosomal RNA
Source: RNAcentral
AUGAUCGAAUGUCGAUGCAAAAUUUGCUUGAAAAAUCUAACUCCAGUCGUGAUGUCUACGAAUGUAUGGGAGAAACAUGCUGGUUGCCGCCAAAAGAAUUGGAAGAAGAGUAUUAAGCUCAAGGGCACUGAGAAGCCUCUCUUUAAAUUUCUUGAAGAGAUUCCUGAAGAAGCUGGCAUAUCUUCUAUUGCAAGUGAAAUUCAACAGGUUUCUUCUGUUGAUACAUCUGACCAGCCAGCUGCUGAAACAUCUGACCAGCCAGCUGCUGAAACAUCCUACCAGCAAGCUGCUGAAACAUCUGAGCUAGCUGCUGUUACAUCUGAUCAGCCGUCUGCAAGCCUCUCUUAUGCGAUGUCGGGAAACAAGCAGUCGCAAAAAUCAAAAGUCUGCAUCUUACAUGAUUAUGAUAGGAUGAAGUCCCAUCAGGAUAAGGACACUGAUCAUGAAUAUGAAAAGGCAUCUAGGAUUUCUGAAAUAAUGAAUACAUUGAAUCAAGAUGGUGUUCUUGACAGAACUGAGAGGGAACCGUUUGAUAGUGCUGAUCGUGAGAUAAUUCUGGCUGUCCAUGAUCCUGAGCAGUUGGAUUAUGUUGAUGGUUUGCCAAUGACAGAUGAGGAGCAGGAAGCAAAAUUUUCUAAAGUUGCCGGAGUUAGUGUAUUCUCUUCUAAAGGAACUACCGAAGCUAUUUACGGUGCAGCUGGGGCCGUUAUAAGGGGUUCCGACCUUGUGGUUGAAGAGUAUUAUGAGACUGCUUUUGCAAUAAUCAGACCUCCAGGGCAUCAUGCUCAUAAGAUUUCUGAAGGUUUCUGCUUUUUGAACAACGUUGCUAUAGCUACUCAACAUGUUGUUGACCACCAUCACAUCGAAAGAGCUUUGCUGGUUGAUUUCGACGUGCAUCAUGGCAAUGGAACGCAGAAACUCUUUUAUGGAAGCAAACAAGUUCUUUUCUUUAACACACAUAGGAUGGAUCUCCCCUAUCCUGCAUCAAAAAAUAGCGUAAACAAUAUUGGUGAGGGGGUGGGCUUGGGUUAUAACAUAAACGUUCCUCUCAAGAAAGGUUUUAAUGAUGUCGACAUGCUUUAUGUAUGCGAUCAACUUCUCGUCCCUGUGGCCACUGAGUUUAAGCCAGAAGUAGUGUUCGUUUCUGCUGGUUAUGAUGCUGGGGAAGGUGAAACAAUAGGAGGUUGCAACGUUUCUGCAAAGGGUUUUGGCACGAUUGUCCGUAAGUUAUUGCCUCUCUCAGGAGGAAAAAUGGUAUUAGCUCUUGAAGGCGGGUACAAUCUAGUUCAUCUUCCUAUAUGUGUUUCGCACACGAUUCGAGCAAUUUUGGGAGAUGAAGAUGCGUUCCUCCAGGAUUCUGAUUACAGAGAUAAACGCCCAUUCAAAAGCACCAUCCGUACAGUCAAUACUGUCAAGCAUAACUUGAGAUUAUGUUGGGAUGUUUUCAAGGAAAAACCUUCAGGUUAUUCUCAAUAA